Drosophila sechellia is the source of this 1008-nucleotide RNA transcript. It is a transcript of the gene named mitochondrial ribosomal protein L17, with no coding region annotated. The record is from RefSeq and is a predicted model, not a curated record. The transcript has 3 exons. NCBI's taxonomy places the organism in Eukaryota, Metazoa, Arthropoda, Insecta, Diptera, Drosophilidae.
CUAUCGAUAAAAGGUCGCCAGCUGUUCGGCGAAUGUUACGUGAUUUCUUAUUUGUAACAUUGCUAAAACUCGAGUAAAAUGAAUCAAGCCGAUGUAACAAAGCUCAUGUCACAGCUGCGUAUAGCGGUUAGACCCAACAAGCGCCACCUGAAGAAUGCCGAUGGCCCGGAAGGUCGGCUGCUGAAGCUGCGUAAGACCGUCACUGCGUUGGUGAAGCACGAGCGUAUUGAACUGUUCUACAACCGUGCCGAUGAAGCUCGUGGCUACGCCGAACUGCUCAUUUCCAAUGCCAUACGCCAUGGGGACCGACACCAAGCGACCAUGGAACUGGCGGACUAUUGGCUGCUGGAAAAGCAACUGGUUCAUAAGCUGUUCAAGGUGCUGGUACCGCGCUAUGAGAACUACAAUGUGUCCUACACUCGCAUGUACAAAGCCCCUCGGGAGUAUCCCGGCAUCUACUACAGGCGGUCUGUGCUGGAGCUUCGGGGCAAUCCCUACCCUUCGCUGGCGGCGGAUCAGUCUCAGAACCGGAAUCUGCUGCACAAUGUGCUUCUGGACGAGGCGAGAAAGGAGUUUAGGCGUCAGAAACUGUCGGAGUUAGUUCACUAACUAGCUCUAUUCACCAGCCGCCUGUUUAUUUAGUAGAUUAGCAAGCAGUUUGUCGCUUAGAAUUCACGUAAGACUUAAAAGCAUCUUUAUUAUAAAUUGAUUGAAGUAAUCCGGUUUCCAAUCUACUGAGUUAGAGAAUUAGCUUUCGAAUGAUUCAAAUUCUGAACGGAUAACUUACCCUUUCCCGUAAGGCAGGCAUCCCGAUGCAUUUCACAAAUGCUGUAGAAGAAUUGGUGCUCAUUUGUCGACGAUGCGCAGACAGGCAGAAACGGAUCACAAUUUGUAAUAGUACUACACCCCGAGCUGCUGCUCAAUACUGGCAGAGAUACAGACAGCGCAAGGAACACUAUAAUGUUGAAGAUCAGGAACCAAGCCAAAUAAAUAUUCAUUUUGGACGAA